AUUGAACGCUGGCGGCAGGCCUAACACAUGCAAGUCGAGCGGAUGAAGGGAGCUUGCUCCUGGAUUCAGCGGCGGACGGGUGAGUAAUGCCUAGGAAUCUGCCUGGUAGUGGGGGAUAACGUCCGGAAACGGGCGCUAAUACCGCAUACGUCCUGAGGGAGAAAGUGGGGGAUCUUCGGACCUCACGCUAUCAGAUGCGCCUAGGUCGGAUUAGCUAGUUGGUGGGGUAAAGGCCUACCAAGGCGACGAUCCGUAACUGGUCUGAGAGGAUGAUCAGUCACACUGGAACUGAGACACGGUCCAGACUCCUACGGGAGGCAGCAGUGGGGAAUAUUGGACAAAGGGCGAAAGCCUGAUCCAGCCAUGCCGCGUGUGUGAAGAAGGUCUUCGGAUUGUAAAGCACUUUAAGUUGGGAGGAAGGGCAGUAAGUUAAUACCUUGCUGUUUUGACGUUACCAACAGAAUAAGCACCGGCUAACUUCGUG
RNAcentral lists this ribosomal RNA (484 nucleotides) under uncultured bacterium. RNAcentral's name for it is "partial 16S ribosomal RNA". It matches the Rfam family "Bacterial small subunit ribosomal RNA", at positions 30 to 507 of the family's 1533-position model. The record is from RNAcentral.